Molecule: non-coding RNA, 515 nt
Organism: Drosophila virilis
Lineage: Eukaryota; Metazoa; Arthropoda; Insecta; Diptera; Drosophilidae
Source: RefSeq, a predicted model, not a curated record
CAGGCGGUGUCAAUUAUGGCUCUGACAUACAAACACAAAAUAUACAAACGUGCCACGGAUGCACAGUUUAAAGACAAACACACAAGAGUUUAGAAACCGAUUGAACUCUGACAUAAAACUGACGCUAGUUCGAUUAAAGACGCCAAACAAAAGAAGAAGAAAUCCAAUUCACGGUUAAUUAAUUCAAGGCAACUAGAAAACCAGAUGGAAAUGCUUGAAAACGGUAGCAUCAGCUGGGAGCUGACCCCGGCCCUGACACGACCCGUGACCCAAGGCGAGGCAGCGCUUCGAUGUGGCUAAGUUAAACGCUUAGCGCAAUAAUUAAUAAUAGACAUUUUUUUUUUUCCAAUUAAACGCUCCGCUGGCCAGCAAAUAGUUUAAUACCAAAAUGUUUCAAAUUGUUUAAAGCAUUGUGUUUUUUUUUGCCUUGUUUCAUUUUGUUUUAAAGCUAAUUAUGCGAAUGCAAGACAAUUAUAAAAGCAAAUAUAAUAUUUUGGCUAAAGGUCGCAAAGCAA